This 142-nucleotide small RNA is filed under the name Sinorhizobium meliloti 2011. RNAcentral describes it as "putative ncRNA". Lineage: Bacteria; Pseudomonadati; Pseudomonadota; Alphaproteobacteria; Hyphomicrobiales; Rhizobiaceae. The record is from RNAcentral.
GAGAUGAAUAUGCAUGAUGAAAUUCUCGGUUGCCUCCCGUUGAUGCCUAUUUCGUCGGCUUGACGAAAUCGGCGAUCGGCGGGGCCUUCAAAACGAACUGGCGGUCUGACGUGAUGUAAUUGUCGGCAUGAAGCCGGGCGAU